CCCUUAGAUGUCCUGGGCCGCACGCGCGCUACACUGAUGCAUGCAACGAGUUUAUAACCUUGGCCUGAAAGGUCUGGGUAAUCUUUUGAACGUGCAUCGUGAUAGGGAUAGAUUAUUGCAAUUGUUAAUCUUGAACGAGGAAUUCCUAGUAAACGCGAGUCAUCAGCUCGCAUUGAUUACGUCCCUGCCCUUUGUACACACCGCCCGUCGCACCUACCGAUUGAAUGGUUCGGUGAAGAUCUCGGACUUCGAUAUUUAUUCUUUAUUGAGUUUAUAUUGUGUGAAGUUAUCUAAACCUCAUCAUUUAGAGGAAGGUGAAGUCGUAACA
This 328-nucleotide ribosomal RNA is filed under the name uncultured eukaryote. RNAcentral's name for it is "partial 18S ribosomal RNA". It matches the Rfam family "Eukaryotic small subunit ribosomal RNA", at positions 1470 to 1796 of the family's 1831-position model. The record is from RNAcentral.